UCGAGCAGAGUGCGGGGAAACUCGCACGCUCCGUUCCAAGGGGGCGGCGACGCCGUAAUGCGUCGCUGCUACCCGAC
Molecule: non-coding RNA, 77 nt
Filed under: Burkholderia sp. D7
Lineage: Bacteria; Pseudomonadati; Pseudomonadota; Betaproteobacteria; Burkholderiales; Burkholderiaceae
Source: RNAcentral